UGCGUAGGCGGGUCUUUAAGUCAGGGGUGAAAUCCUGGAGCUCAACUCCAGAACUGCCUUUGAUACUGAGAUCUUGAGUUCGGGAGAGGUGAGUGGAACUGCGAGUGUAGAGGUGAAAUUCGUAGAUAUUCGCAAGAACACCAGUGGCGAAGGCGGCUCACUGGCCCGAUACUGACGCUGAGGCACGAAAGCGUGGGGAGCAAACA
Molecule: ribosomal RNA, 206 nt
Filed under: uncultured bacterium
Lineage: Bacteria
Description: partial 16S ribosomal RNA
Rfam family: Bacterial small subunit ribosomal RNA
Source: RNAcentral